Megalopta genalis is the source of this 791-nucleotide long non-coding RNA. RefSeq lists it as uncharacterized. The record is from RefSeq and is a predicted model, not a curated record. NCBI's taxonomy places the organism in Eukaryota, Metazoa, Arthropoda, Insecta, Hymenoptera, Halictidae.
GAUUAGAUGAUUCGUGCCGGACUGUCCAUUGUACCUUAUGACAAAAGCAGCAAGCUUUAUUUGCAAUAACAUAUAAACCUUUUUUACAUAAUGUAAAUGCAGAAAAAUCUCCUGCACAUUUCUACAUCCUCAGGAUUUUUUCUGAAUCCCUCAAUUAGUAGAUAUCAGGCCAUUUUUAAAGACAUGUAUUCAUCAUACAUACAGAGAUUUUAAGCAACGGCAAAUGGCAGGUUGAAAGCAACCAGAGAUCGCAGAAUUAGUACCAUCAGACGCCUUAUUUACAUUUCUCAACAAAUUAAUGAACAGGAUUUACAAUAUAAUGAUGAUACAAUUCAAAAGAAUUCCAGGUACAAAGCCUGGCGAAACUGUGAAAAAUUGUAACCUUGAAACGAGAGGCCUACGUGAUGAAAACAAGUGCGAUCCAGGCAUGAUCGACGAUACGCCAUAAACAAAAUUCCUAAGCGCGGAGCGCCAGCAAAGAACACAGAAACGUAGCGCGAUCAAUCAAAUGAAAAUUCCUUGCUACGACAAUUAUUCGCACGAACAAAUGCAAAAAUAAAUCAGCCAAGAAUUAAUCACCCAGCCCAAGAAGACGAAACGGUUCAUUCUUCCAUUCAAGACUGAAAAACAACCCGGCUUCCGGCUUUAAUCUGGUUAACGGACGUUAAACAAAAUUACAAUUUCCGAGGAAUUCGACAUGCGAAUUACCGCAGGAAUAACACAGGGAAAACGGUACGGAACUCGUCCGUAUAAAAAAAAUACAAAUAUAAUAAACGCCACGUGGAGACAAA